UAGGUUUAGAGAAGCGAACCCGGAGAACUGAAACAUCUUAGUACCCGGAGGAAAAGAAAUCAAUCGAGAUACCCUUAGUAGCGGCGAGCGAAGCGGGUAGAGCCCAAACCGUACAUUUGUGCGGGGUUGUAGGACGGAUAAUAUGUAUUGUGAAUGGUAGCCGAAUACGAUGGAAAGCGUAUCCGCAGUGGGUAAUAGGCCCGUAGGCGAAACCUGAAGCAAGCUAAUCCUGUUCCUGAGUAGGGCGGGGCACGUGAAACCCUGUCUGAAUCCGGGAGGACCACCUUCCAAGGCUAAAUACGAGUUGAUGACCGAUAGUGAAGUAGUACCGUGAGGGAAAGGUGAAAAGCACCCCGGGAGGGGAGUGAAAUAGAACCUGAAACCGUGUGCAUACAAGCGGUCGGAGCAGUCUAUAUGAUUGUGACGGCGUGCCUUUUGUUUAAUGAGCCAGCGAGUUACUCCUCUAGAGCAAGGUUAAGGGCCUCAGGUCUGUAGCCGCAGCGAAAGCAAGUCUUAAUAGGGCGUCGAGUUCUAGGGGGUAGACACGAAACCUUGUGAUCUAGUUAUGACCAGGUUGAAGCGUGGGUAACACUACGUGGAGGACCGAACCAGUAUCGGCUGAAAACGAUUUGGAUGAGUUGUGACUAGGGGUGAAAGGCCAAUCAAACUAGGUGAUAGCUUGUUCUCUCCGA
RNAcentral lists this ribosomal RNA (692 nucleotides) under uncultured bacterium. RNAcentral's name for it is "bacterial LSU rRNA". It matches the Rfam family "Bacterial large subunit ribosomal RNA", at positions 166 to 862 of the family's 2925-position model. The record is from RNAcentral.